This 444-nucleotide ribosomal RNA is filed under the name uncultured bacterium. RNAcentral describes it as "partial 16S ribosomal RNA". It matches the Rfam family "Bacterial small subunit ribosomal RNA", at positions 354 to 796 of the family's 1533-position model. The record is from RNAcentral.
GUAGGGAAUAUUGGGCAAUGGUCGGAAGACUGACCCAGCCAUGCCGCGUGCAGGAAGACGGCCCUCUGGGUUGUAAACUGCUUUUAUCUGGGAAGAAAAAGGCCAUGCGUGGCAAAUUGCCGGUACCAGAUGAAUAAGCACCGGCUAACUCCGUGCCAGCAGCCGCGGUAAUACGGAGGGUGCGAGCGUUGUCCGGAUUUAUUGGGUUUAAAGGGUGCGUAGGCGGCUGAUUAAGUCAGCGGUGAAAGACUUCGGCUUAACCGGAGCAGUGCCGUUGAUACUGGUUGGCUUGAGUGUCGGAGGGGUACAUGGAAUUGAUGGUGUAGCGGUGAAAUGCAUAGAUACCAUCAGGAACACCGAUAGCGAAGGCAUUGUACUGGCCGACAACUGACGCUGAUGCACGUAAGUGUGGGGAUCGAACAGGAUUAGAUACCCGUGUAGUCC